RNAcentral lists this ribosomal RNA (529 nucleotides) under Photobacterium sp. GB-3. Its description in RNAcentral is "bacterial SSU rRNA". It matches the Rfam family "Bacterial small subunit ribosomal RNA", at positions 467 to 995 of the family's 1533-position model. Lineage: Bacteria; Pseudomonadati; Pseudomonadota; Gammaproteobacteria; Vibrionales; Vibrionaceae. The record is from RNAcentral.
GUUUGACGUUAGCAACAGAAGAAGCACCGGCUAACUCCGUGCCAGCAGCCGCGGUAAUACGGAGGGUGCGAGCGUUAAUCGGAAUUACUGGGCGUAAAGCGCAUGCAGGUGGUCUGUUAAGCAAGAUGUGAAAGCCCGGGGCUCAACCUCGGAACAGCAUUUUGAACUGGCAGACUAGAGUACUGUAGAGGGGGGUAGAAUUUCAGGUGUAGCGGUGAAAUGCGUAGAGAUCUGAAGGAAUACCGGUGGCGAAGGCGGCCCCCUGGACAGAUACUGACACUCAGAUGCGAAAGCGUGGGGAGCAAACAGGAUUAGAUACCCUGGUAGUCCACGCCGUAAACGAUGUCUACUUGGAGGUUGUGGCCUUGAGCCGUGGCUUUCGGAGCUAACGCGUUAAGUAGACCGCCUGGGGAGUACGGUCGCAAGAUUAAAACUCAAAUGAAUUGACGGGGGCCCGCACAAGCGGUGGAGCAUGUGGUUUAAUUCGAUGCAACGCGAAGAACCUUACCUACUCUUGACAUCCAGAGAA